GUGUCAGCAGCCGCGGUAAUACGGAGGUGGCAAGCGUUGUUCGGAAUUACUGGGCGUAAAGGGCGCGUAGGCGGCUUGGCAAGUCAGAUGUGAAAGCCCCAGGCUUAACUUGGGAACUGCAUCUGAAACUGCUUUGCUUGAGUCCUGGAGGGGGCAGUGGAAUUCCCAGUGUAGCGGUGAAAUGCGUAGAUAUUGGGAGGAACACCGGCGGCGAAGGCGGCUGCCUGGACAGUGACUGACGCUGAUGCGCGAAAGCUAGGGGAGCAAACGGGAUUAGAAACCCCCGUAGUCC
RNAcentral lists this ribosomal RNA (292 nucleotides) under uncultured bacterium. RNAcentral's name for it is "partial 16S ribosomal RNA". It matches the Rfam family "Bacterial small subunit ribosomal RNA", at positions 505 to 796 of the family's 1533-position model. The record is from RNAcentral.